Molecule: ribosomal RNA, 168 nt
Filed under: Phalaris coerulescens
Lineage: Eukaryota; Viridiplantae; Streptophyta; Magnoliopsida; Poales; Poaceae
Also listed under: 2 other names
Description: 5.8S ribosomal RNA
Rfam family: 5.8S ribosomal RNA
About the family: 5.8S ribosomal RNA (5.8S rRNA) is a component of the large subunit of the eukaryotic ribosome. It is transcribed by RNA polymerase I as part of the 45S precursor that also contains 18S and 28S rRNA. Functionally, it is thought that 5.8S rRNA may be involved in ribosome translocation.
Source: RNAcentral
AAUCCACACGACUCUCGGCAACGGAUAUCUCGGCUCUCGCAUCGAUGAAGAACGUAGCGAAAUGCGAUACCUGGUGUGAAUUGCAGAAUCCCGCGAACCAUCGAGUCUUUGAACGCAAGUUGCGCCCGAGGCCAUUCGGCCGAGGGCACGCCUGCCUGGGCGUCACGC